Molecule: ribosomal RNA, 253 nt
Filed under: uncultured bacterium
Lineage: Bacteria
Description: partial 16S ribosomal RNA
Rfam family: Bacterial small subunit ribosomal RNA
Source: RNAcentral
UACGUAGGGUGCGAGCGUUAAUCGGAAUUACUGGGCGUAAAGCGUGCGCAGGCGGCUUUGCAAGACAGAUGUGAAAUCCCCGGGCUUAACCUGGGAACUGCAUUUGUGACUGCAUAGCUGGAGUACGGCAGAGGGGGAUGGAAUUCCGCGUGUAGCAGUGAAAUGCGUAGAUAUGCGGAGGAACACCGAUGGCGAAGGCAGUCCCCUGGGCCUGUACUGACGCUCAUGCACGAAAGCGUGGGGAGCAAACAGG